CUGUCCUACGGGACGCAGCAGUAGGGAAUCUUCCACAAUGGGCGAAAGCCUGAUGGAGCAACGCCGCGUGGGUGAAGAAGGUCUUCGGAUCGUAAAACCCUGUUGUUAGAGAAGAAAGUGCGUGAGAGUAACUGUUCACAUUUCGACGGUAUCUAACCAGAAAGCCACGGCUAACUACGUGCCAGCAGCCGCGGUAAUACGUAGUUGGCAAGCGUUAUCCGUCUUUCUUGUUCGU
RNAcentral lists this ribosomal RNA (235 nucleotides) under uncultured bacterium. Its description in RNAcentral is "partial 16S ribosomal RNA". It matches the Rfam family "Bacterial small subunit ribosomal RNA", at positions 334 to 561 of the family's 1533-position model. The record is from RNAcentral.